RNAcentral lists this transfer RNA (58 nucleotides) under Clonorchis sinensis. It matches the Rfam family "tRNA", at positions 8 to 63 of the family's 71-position model. Rfam says of the family: Transfer RNA (tRNA) molecules are approximately 80 nucleotides in length. The record is from Rfam by way of RNAcentral. Lineage: Eukaryota; Metazoa; Platyhelminthes; Trematoda; Opisthorchiida; Opisthorchiidae.
UGGCUCAAAUGGUAGAGCGCUUGCUUAGCAUGCAAGAGAUACUGGGAUCGACACCCAG